GGCACGGUGGUGCAGUGGGUAGCACUGACACAGCAAGAAGGUCCUGGGUUCGAAUCCCAGUCUCUGCCU
RNAcentral lists this transfer RNA (69 nucleotides) under Anguilla anguilla (European eel). RNAcentral's name for it is "tRNA-OTHER". The record is from RNAcentral. Lineage: Eukaryota; Metazoa; Chordata; Actinopteri; Anguilliformes; Anguillidae.